AUUGAACGCUGGCGGCAUGCCUUACACAUGCAAGUCGAUCGGCAGCACGGGUGCUUGCACCUGGUGGCGAGUGGCGAACGGGUGAGUAAUACAUCGGAACAUGUCCUGUAGUGGGGGAUAGCCCGGCGAAAGCCGGAUUAAUACCGCAUACGAUCCACGGAUGAAAGCGGGGGACCUUCGGGCCUCGCGCUAUAGGGUUGGCCGAUGGCUGAUUAGCUAGUUGGUGGGGUAAAGGCCUACCAAGGCGACGAUCAGUAGCUGGUCUGAGAGGACGACCAGCCACACUGGGACUGAGACACGGCCCAGACUCCUACGGGAGGCAGCAGUGGGGAAUUUUGGACAAUGGGCGAAAGCCUGAUCCAGCAAUGCCGCGUGUGUGAAGAAGGCCUUCGGGUUGUAAAGCACUUUUGUCCGGAAAGAAAUCCUUGACUCUAAUACAGUCGGGGGAUGUCGGUACCGGAAGAAUAAGCACCGGCUAACUACGUG
This 486-nucleotide ribosomal RNA is filed under the name uncultured bacterium. RNAcentral describes it as "partial 16S ribosomal RNA". It matches the Rfam family "Bacterial small subunit ribosomal RNA", at positions 30 to 507 of the family's 1533-position model. The record is from RNAcentral.